RNAcentral lists this ribosomal RNA (935 nucleotides) under uncultured SB1 group bacterium. Its description in RNAcentral is "bacterial SSU rRNA". It matches the Rfam family "Bacterial small subunit ribosomal RNA", at positions 8 to 925 of the family's 1533-position model. The record is from RNAcentral.
AGAGUUUGAUCCUGGCUCAGGACGAACGCUGACGGCGCGGAUUAGGCAUGCAAGUCGAACGAGAAAUUUCCGAUUCGUCGGGAAGAGUAUAGUGGCGAAUGGGUGAGUAACGGGUAGGUAUCUACCCAAUAGAUUGGGAUAGCCUCAGGAAACUGAGGGUAAUACCAGAUAAGCCCCGAUUAUCGGGGGAAAGAUGGCCUCUGUUUACAAGCUGUCACUAUUGGAUGAGCCUGCUUCAUGUUAGCUUGUUGGUGAGGUAAAGGCUCACCAAGGCAAUGAUGUGUAGCCGGCCUUAACGGGUGUCCGGUCACACUGGGAUUGAGAUACGGCCCAGACUCCUACGGGAGGCAGCAGUCGAGAAUCGUCUACAAUGGACGAAAGUCUGAUAGUGCGACGUCGUGUGUGCGAAGAAGCCCUUCGGGGUGUAAAGUACUUUUUUAUGAGAUAAAGCUUCAAUAGAUUUAAUAGUUUGUUGAAGUUGAUAUUAUUAUAAGAAUAAGCUCUGGCUAACUCCGUGCCAGCAGCCGCGGUAAUACGGAGAGAGCAAGCGUUGUCCGGUUUUACUAGGCAUAAAGGGCUCGUAGGUGGCUAAUUAAGUUAUAUGUUAAAUCCCACGGCUUAACUGUGGACCAGCAUAUAAUACUGGUUAGCUUGAGUACUGUAGAAGAAGGCGGAAUUCCUGGAGUAGCGGUGGAAUGCACAGAUAUCAGGAAGAACACCAAAAGCGAAGGCAGCCUUCUAGGCAGUUACUGACACUCAGAGCGAAGGUGUGGGGCGCAAACAGGAUUAGAUAUCCUGGUAGUCCACACAGUCAACGAUGAUCACUAGGUUUUGGUGGGAUUAAAAUCAUCAGAGCUAAAGCAAAUGUAUUAAGUGAUCCGCCUGGGGAGUACGUCCGCAAGGAUGAAACUCAAAGGAAUUGACGGGGACCCGCA